UACGAAGGGAGCUAGCGUUGUUCGGAAUUACUGGGCGUAAAGGGUGCGUAGGCGGUUUGACAAGUCAGGUGUGAAAGCCCCGAGCUCAACUCGGGAACUGCGCUUGAGACUGUCAGGCUAGAAUUCGGAAGAGGUGAGUGGAAUUCCCAGUGUAGAGGUGAAAUUCGUAGAUAUUAGGAAGAACACCAGUGGCGAAGGCGGCUCACUGGCCCGGUACUGACGCUCAGGUGCGAAAGCGUGGGGAGCAAACAGG
This 253-nucleotide ribosomal RNA is filed under the name uncultured bacterium. RNAcentral's name for it is "partial 16S ribosomal RNA". It matches the Rfam family "Bacterial small subunit ribosomal RNA", at positions 524 to 776 of the family's 1533-position model. The record is from RNAcentral.